RNAcentral lists this non-coding RNA (121 nucleotides) under Rhodanobacter fulvus. Its description in RNAcentral is "SAM-I sequence". It matches the Rfam family "SAM riboswitch aptamer (S box leader)". Rfam says of the family: The SAM riboswitch is found upstream of a number of genes which code for proteins involved in methionine or cysteine biosynthesis in Gram-positive bacteria. RNAcentral also lists the same sequence under 1 other name. The record is from RNAcentral. Lineage: Bacteria; Pseudomonadati; Pseudomonadota; Gammaproteobacteria; Lysobacterales; Rhodanobacteraceae.
CACUCAUCGAGACCGGCGGAGGGACAGGCCCUUGGAUGCCGGGGCAACCUGCGAGGAUGUAUUUCGCGACGGUGCCAACUCCUGCGGAGGUGCCGGAUCGGCAUCAACCGGUAGAUGGGCG